This 506-nucleotide ribosomal RNA is filed under the name uncultured bacterium. RNAcentral's name for it is "partial 16S ribosomal RNA". It matches the Rfam family "Bacterial small subunit ribosomal RNA", at positions 28 to 523 of the family's 1533-position model. The record is from RNAcentral.
GAUGAACGCUAGCUACAGGCUUAACACAUGCAAGUCGAGGGGUAACGAGAGGAAAGCUUGCUUUCCUUGUCGACGACCGGCGCACGGGUGAGUAACGCGUAUCCAACCUGCCCCCAACUAGGGAAUAACCUGGCGAAAGUAAGACUAAUACCCUAUAAUUUCCUCAGAUGUCAUCUGACGAUGAAUAAAGAUUUAACGGUUGUGGAUGGGGAUGCGUCUGAAUAGCUUGUUGGCGGGGUAACGGCCAACCAAGGCAACGAUCAGUAGGGGUUCUGAGAGGAAGGUCCACCACAUUGGAACUGAGACACGGUCCAAACUCCUACGGGAGGCAGCAGUGAGGAAUUUUGGUGAAUGGGCGGAAGCCUGAACCAGCCAAGUAGCGUGCAGGAUGACGGCCCUAUGGGUUGUAAACUGCUUUUAUACAGGAAUAAAGUUAGCCACGUGUGGUUAUUUGUAGGUACUGUAUGAAUAAGGACCGGCUAAUUCCGUGCCAGCAGCCGCCGCCG